This 433-nucleotide ribosomal RNA is filed under the name uncultured bacterium. RNAcentral describes it as "partial 16S ribosomal RNA". It matches the Rfam family "Bacterial small subunit ribosomal RNA", at positions 29 to 507 of the family's 1533-position model. The record is from RNAcentral.
AACGAACGCUGGCGGCAGGCUUAACACAUGCAAGUCGAACGCACCUUUCGGGGUGAGUGGCAGACGGGUGAGUAACGCGUGGGAAUCUACCCUUCUCUACGGGAUAGCUCCGGGAAACUGGAAUUAAUACCGUAUACGUCCUGAGGGAGAAAGAUUUAUCGGGGAAGGAUGAGCCCGCGUUGGAUUAGCUAGUUGGUGGGGUAAAGGCCUACCAAGGCGACGAUCCAUAGCUGGUCUAAGAGGAUGAUCAGCCACAUUGGGACUGAGACACGGCCCAAACUCCUACGGGAGGCAGCAGUGGGGAAUAUUGGACAAGGGGCGCAAGCCUGAUCCAGCCAUGCCGCGUGAGUGAUGAAGGCCCUAGGGUUGUAAAGCUCUUUCAGUGGGGACGAUAAUGACGGUACCCACAGAAGAAGCCCCGGCUAACUUCGUG